GCCGGAGUGGCGGAAUUGGCAGACGCGCACGACUCAAACUCGUGUACCUUCGGGUGUGUGGGUUCGACUCCCACCUCCGGCA
Molecule: transfer RNA, 82 nt
Filed under: Chloroflexota bacterium
Lineage: Bacteria; Bacillati; Chloroflexota
Also listed under: 2 other names
Description: Chloroflexi bacterium tRNA-Leu
Rfam family: tRNA
About the family: Transfer RNA (tRNA) molecules are approximately 80 nucleotides in length. Their secondary structure includes four short double-helical elements and three loops (D, anti-codon, and T loops).
Source: RNAcentral